This is a non-coding RNA of Lyngbya majuscula, 392 nucleotides long. NCBI's taxonomy places the organism in Bacteria, Bacillati, Cyanobacteriota, Cyanophyceae, Oscillatoriales, Microcoleaceae. The record is from Rfam.
GGGGCCUUAAUGGUUUCGACGUGUUGGUGAAAGCUGACCCGUGAUUCAGGUCGAGAGUGAGUCUUCUCUCGCAAAUACCGGACUCAAAAAAAUUGUAACUGCGAACAACAUCGUUCCUUUUGCUCGUAAGGCUGCACCUGCUGUUGCCUAAACACCUAUAAACAGGUUCGAGCGUCUGUAGUUUGACUCCGUUAAGGACUAUAGACUUAACCCCAACGGAUGCUCUAGUAAGCUGUCUUUGGUCGGUUUGCUAGCUAAGACUUCACCAAAGCAUCCUGUCAUCCGGGAUAAGGGAUGAUCCCCGCUCCGAGGGUUAAAGGGGCUAAGCCUGUGAAUGAGCGAUAAGUAAAUAACCAGGGCGGACACGGGUUCAAUUCCCGUAGGCUCCAUUA